GAUUAACGCUAGCGGCAGGCCUAAUACAUGCAAGUCGAACGGCAGCGGACUCAGCAAUGGGUGCCGGCGAGUGGCGCACGGGUGCGUAACGCGUAUGCAAUCUACCUUUAACUGGGGGAUAGCCCCGAGAAAUCGGGAUUAAUACCCCAUAAUAUUGAGGAGGGACAUCCCUUUUCAAUUAAAGCUCCGGCGGUUUUAGAUGAGCAUGCGUGACAUUAGCUAGUUGGUGAGGUAACGGCUCACCAAGGCAACGAUGUCUAGGGGUUCUGAGAGGAUUUUCCCCCACACUGGUACUGAGACACGGACCAGACUCCUACGGGAGGCAGCAGUAAGGAAUAUUGGGCAAUGGGCGCAAGCCUGACCCAGCCAUGCCGCGUGAAGGAUGACGGCCCUAUGGGUUGUAAACUUCUUUUGUACGGGAAAAAACCACCGGUCGUGAACCGGUGCUGAUGGUACCGUAAGAAUAAGCAUCGGCUAACUCCGUG
Molecule: ribosomal RNA, 485 nt
Filed under: uncultured organism
Description: bacterial SSU rRNA
Rfam family: Bacterial small subunit ribosomal RNA
Source: RNAcentral